Molecule: long non-coding RNA, 361 nt
Filed under: Equus caballus (horse)
Lineage: Eukaryota; Metazoa; Chordata; Mammalia; Perissodactyla; Equidae
Description: lncRNA (ENSECAG00000058784.1)
Source: RNAcentral
AAAAGAUCUAAAUUUAUUUUCUUGAUACUUAGAAAUGUAAUUUAAAGUUCUUUGAUACAUUAUUUUUUUCUCUCGUUUAUAUCCAAAAUGCCUGCGAGCAACUUAGACAAUCAUGAUAAAAUAUUUUGGAUUUAUAUCAGCAUGGUAGCAAGCAAGACUGCCUUCUUACCACGAUGGAUUUCUUCCACCUGGCAUUUUCCAAAGAUCAUAUUUGAAACCAAAUAAAUCAAGAUGAAAUGGGGAACUUCAGUAAGUCACAACUAUUUCAGGACUCUAAGGAAAAAUCAAACACUGAAGAUCUAAUGUUUGAGGCAAACAACUAUCAAACAGGCACAGCUCAGACUCUGAAAAAGUGAAGCAC